CCUUUAUUUGAAUAAACUAUUCAAGAUUUUUAAAAAAGCCACUGUUAAAAUAUGUAAAUUGAUCCAGGGAAGAACGCUCGGCUCACACGUAGUCUUUCAUAUCUCGAUGUUGUCCAUUACAAAGUGCAUCUCCUUUCCACUUUUUCAUGUCAUCUUGUCUUUAUUGGCAGCUUGUGUGCUGCUCUCUAUUGAUGAGAUCGUGCUGGCCCGUCCUGUGCUCUUCAGCGGAGAUCCAGAAGAGGAUGUGAUGUGAUGGACCACGAAAGGGCUGAUUCAGGCAGCGGCUCUCAGGGCUCUGUCAGGAGGCCUGCUACUCUUCCCACAACUCCCAGAAGUCCACACUGUUCCGGACAACAGAUAAAGUGCAGCAGUCACGGUGGGAAAUGUAGUCUGCUGCUCGACGUGACUAAUUAGGUCAGUUCCUUUGGCAGCUGCAGGUGAGAGGUGCUCGCUCGCGUUUGCUUCGUGUUGAACACCUCCGGGACGGUGGAGCUUCAGAGCCGUGCUGGGGUGAUGGGAGUUUCAGGCUGUGAUGCGAGGCCCAUGUGUAUUUUCAUGAAAACGCUCCGCUUCAAAGAAGUACUACAACACCCAUGACGCGAAGAUAUUAAAAGAGUCAUAAAGAACCAGUGUUCAUACCAUUCAAACUACUUGUCAGCUGAUACAGGGUUCAGGAUUUCUUGAAUAUUUAACAAAAGUACAUGAGAUACAUUGCACUAAUUUCCAUUAGUGCAAAUUACUACUAACAGUUGCUUAAAUGUGU
Cyprinus carpio (common carp) is the source of this 763-nucleotide long non-coding RNA. The record is from Ensembl. Lineage: Eukaryota; Metazoa; Chordata; Actinopteri; Cypriniformes; Cyprinidae.